ACGUGAUCUGAGUUCAGACCGGAGUAAUCCAGGUCAGUUUCUAUCUAUAAAGGACUUUUUCCAGUACGAAAGGACCGAAAAAGCACGGCCCAUGCCUAAAGCAAGCCGCACCCAUAAUUUAUGAUUUUAAACUCAAUAAACAAUUGACCUCCAACUUUAUCCUAGACAAGAACA
Molecule: ribosomal RNA, 174 nt
Filed under: Ptychohyla sp. JAC 21606
Lineage: Eukaryota; Metazoa; Chordata; Amphibia; Anura; Hylidae
Description: partial 16S ribosomal RNA
Source: RNAcentral